Molecule: long non-coding RNA, 1207 nt
Organism: Anguilla anguilla (European eel)
Lineage: Eukaryota; Metazoa; Chordata; Actinopteri; Anguilliformes; Anguillidae
Exons: 4
Source: RefSeq, a predicted model, not a curated record
GAAAAAAGAAAUAGAGAACAAAACUGAAGAAAGACAUGGAGGACAAGGAAAAAAGACAGAGGUCUCGGGUGAUGCAAACCCCAGAACGAUGCCUGCGCUGCAUUCUUUGAGGAUUUGAACAUCUCAGAUGAAACAGUAGGGGACAUUUGGAAGCCUGAGUCCAACGUAGGGAAGCUUCCGAAGAGGAGACUUCACUCGCAUUUCUGGAGAGCCUAUCUGGUUGCCUGCAAAUCCAGCACAUCCCCCCAUAACGUGCGUAACCCAGGCCAAGAAAUGCCAGAGAAGGACUGACAAAGGAGAUUGGGCAAAAAAGUGUCGUCGCAUUCCUGAGCUAUCGCUGUGGCAACCUUGGAGCCGAACAAUAGAUGAGACCGUCUCCUGCUGGACAGGUGAUGUGGUCAGCCAGCAGCCAGGCCUAUAGAAGCCCACCAUCUCAAUGACUGCCCAGCCUUUCACAAUAGAUCUCCCAGAUUCGAUUUAACAUAAUAAAGUUCCCGGCUCCCUUCCCCGGGGUUUGGAUUGUGUUCCGCAUCGGAAUGAAACGGAGGGGAAAAAAAGGCAAGUUUGAUCUGACAACUGUGAAUAUCUUCUCCCGGCGCUUUAAACUGAAAAGGAAAGAGAAAUGCUAAUUUUAAAGUGGGGGGAAAAAAAAGUUCUGUUUCAGGCCCAGCUCCAAGGGCUUGUGUGCUUUUGGAAUUAACGCUGUCUUUUCUGCCAGCGUGGCUGGUCCCGACCAUUGUGGCCCAUUUUCAUAAGUGCCCAGUCCGAGAGAGGGGCAGCGUGACGUGAAUGUGAUUUUUUUUUUAAAUGUCCUGGAAUACUCAGAAAUGUGUGAAAGUAACAUGAGCUGACCCACAGCUGAGUCAGAAUGAUUCUCGAUUCCAGUCAGGUGAUCUUUAAUCUUCAUUUCCAGAAUUGGAAAAAAAAAGAAAAGUGCUCCUUACGGUCAGUAACCGGGCGGGGGUUCAUAAGGAGAGGGAGCAGCUGAGCAGGAAGCUCUGAAGCCUUGUCGCGCUCUGAGAACAAUAAUGGGAAACCUGCUGGGUACGUCCCUGUCCAGCGACUCAGAGCGCUGCUUCCUCGCCUGGAAAUGUGUUCUCAUAGGUGCAAGAUUCAUUUCCUAUAUAAGUUCAGGGAAGUUAAUGACUGAAUCACAGUAUAACGGUUUCCAGCAUAUCGACUACAGUGACUAAUAUAAAUAUGAUGC